Molecule: long non-coding RNA, 1156 nt
Organism: Glycine soja
Lineage: Eukaryota; Viridiplantae; Streptophyta; Magnoliopsida; Fabales; Fabaceae
Exons: 2
Source: RefSeq, a predicted model, not a curated record
UUAAUGAAAAUAUAAUUCAAUGUUUUUCUUUUAUAAGUAAGACCUUUGUUUGAUCGAUUUUUGCGUGAUAUUUUGUAGACACCCACUUCGUCAAACCUCGAUCCUCUUCAACCAAAUUUCCAAUGCAAUCAAUAUUCUGCAACAUCACAAGUUAAAAAUAAAUUUAAAAAAAAAACAUUAAUGAACAAAUUAAAGAGGUUUUGUUUUCAAGGAAAAAGAGUUAGACCAUAUACUACGUAAAUUAAAUUGGCCUGAAUCAGUCUUUGCUCGUGUGCGUGCAUCUGCGCAACAAAAGUGUUGUAGUCAACGAAAUGUAACACAUGUUUCUGGAAGAAAUAGUAGUUUAUUUUUUUAAAAAGAAAAAAAAAAUCAGUUGAUCAUAUGUACUUGGGAAAAUAAUUAAGUUUGGGGGGUGUGUGAUUGAUGUUCUCAGUGAUAUAAGUUGAAUUGUUUUGUUCUGUAGGAUUCUUGGCAAUAGAAAAUCUGCUGCUAAAUCAAAGAAGAGGAGAGUGCUUUAUUAAAAAGAGUUGCAAGUAAAGGUCCAGCAGCUAGCGAUUCAAUCAGCUAACCUGGAUAAUAGUAUUAGCUUUCUUCAGCUGCCGCUGCAAAGAUAAAGGAAGAACUUCGAAGCCUCCUUAGGAAUAAAUAUGAUCAUGUUGGUGUUAUGUCGAGUUAUGGUUCUGUCGACGAGUUGUCCUCUCAGUUUUCUUCAUAGUUGGCUCUACAACAGUUUCAUAACCCUCCGUCUCAUGAUCAGCAACAUCUUGACCCUCAGCAAGCACAGCUCUCCAUGCCUAAUCCUCUUCCUUCCUCUAGUACUCAGAGUUUUGGUGGGGAAUAUGGCCUUAAUAACUUCUCCAACUUCAGUCAGCUAAACUAGUUCAUUAUAGCAGCAGCAAACGAUAUCACAAGUAUCAUCUUGUGUAUGUAUUUGUAAUGGCCGAGAUUUGUGAAGUUGGUACUUUGUUGUUAUUAUGCUUUACUGUUUUAGGCUAGCCAGAUAGCUUAUUCUUGUGCGUUUCCUACAUUAAUUUUUAGGUUAAAACCAGAACUCGUUCUUUAUUUUCUUCAUUUAUGUGGUGAAAACAGUUGAACAUCAAGAUGUUGAAGGAUAAAUAGGUGAUGGGUGAUGAAUGAAAGUAUUCUGAGUUAUGGC